RNAcentral lists this ribosomal RNA (445 nucleotides) under uncultured bacterium. RNAcentral describes it as "partial 16S ribosomal RNA". It matches the Rfam family "Bacterial small subunit ribosomal RNA", at positions 354 to 796 of the family's 1533-position model. The record is from RNAcentral.
GUGAGGAAUAUUGCGCAAUGGAGGCAACUCUGACGCAGCCAUGCCGCGUGCAGGAAGAAGGCGCUACGCGUUGUAAACUGCUUUUAACCGGGAAGAAACCCCAGGACGUGUCCUGGGUUGACGGUACCGGAGGAAUAAGCACCGGCUAACUUCGUGCCAGCAGCCGCGGUAAUACGAAGGGUGCAAGCGUUAUCCGGAUUCAUUGGGUUUAAAGGGUGCGUAGGCGGAGCGUUAAGUCAGUGGUGAAAUCCUGCAGCUUAACUGUAGACUUGCCAUUGAUACUGGCGCUCUUGAGUGCGCUUGAAGUGGGCGGAAUGUGCCGUGUAGCGGUGAAAUGCUUAGAUAUGGCACAGAACACCAAUUGCGAAGGCAGCUCACUAAGGCGAUACUGACGCUGAGGCACGAAAGCAUGGGGAUCGAACAGGAUUAGAAACCCGGGUAGUCC